Non-coding RNA from Poecilia formosa (Amazon molly), 73 nucleotides. Lineage: Eukaryota; Metazoa; Chordata; Actinopteri; Cyprinodontiformes; Poeciliidae. The record is from Rfam.
GUUCCUGUAGUGUAGUGGAUAUCAUGUUUGCUUUACACACCAAAGGUCUCUGGUUCAAAACCAGACAGGAAUG